Long non-coding RNA from Carassius gibelio (silver crucian carp), 1624 nucleotides. RefSeq lists it as uncharacterized. The transcript is spliced from 2 exons. The record is from RefSeq and is a predicted model, not a curated record. Lineage: Eukaryota; Metazoa; Chordata; Actinopteri; Cypriniformes; Cyprinidae.
CUCCUCAUCCACCACCAGUGUGCAGCAUCCACCUGGAUGACGCGACGGCAGCCAUAUUGCGCCAGAACACCCACCACACACCAGCUUACUGGUGGAGAGGAGACAGAGUGAUGGAGCCAAUCAGCAGAUAUGGGGAUUGAUAGGAGGCCAUGAUGGUUGGAGGCCAAUGGGCAAUUUAGCCAGGAUGCCGAGGUUACACCUCUACUUUUUUUGAAAAACAUCCUGGAAUUUUUAAUGACCACAGAGAGUCAGGACCUCAGUUUAACGUCUCAUACGAAGGAUGGUGCUUGUUGACAGUAUAGUGUCCCCGUCACUACACUGGGGUGCUAGGACCCACACAGACCACAGGGUGAGCGCCCCCUGCUGGUCUCACUUAACACCUCUUACAGCCUAGUUUUCCCAGGAGGUCUCCCAUCCAGGUACUGACUGGGGAAAUAUUUUCAACAGCAGAAGGAACGGCACUCCUAGCCGUAACGAGGGGACUUCACCCAACUGAAGAAGGAACGGCACUCCUAGCCGUAACGAGGGGACUUCACCCAACUGAAGAAGGAAUGGCACUCCUAGCCGUGACGAGGGGACUUCACCCAACUGAAGAAGGAAUGGCACUCCUAGCCGUGACGAGGGGACUUCAUCUGACUGUAAAUAAAGGUGACUUGACUUGACUGAAGAGGGAACGCACUCCUAGCUGAGACGAGGGAACUGGAUCCAACAGAAGAUAGAACGGCACGCCUGCAGUGAUAGAGUAGCUGAGUCUUACUGCGAGGGGAACGGCCCUCCUGGCCGUGGCAAGGACAUUUAAUCUAACUGAAGAGGGAAUGGCACUCCUGGCUGUGUAUCUAGGACUCAGAUCAUUGGCAGGUGACUUUACUGGGAGAUACUCUGGACUCUGAGCCUUUAUUGGGAACUGGUCAGUGCCGGGAGCUCACAUUGGACUCUGGUCAGGCACAGAUACCCUAUCUAGGUCAAACUCUGCAACAGAAGCCCUCUCUGGGCUAAACUCCGGGACAGAAGCCGUUUCUGGGCUAGACUCGGGACAGGAGCCCUCUCUGAACUCAACUCCAGAAUGCAAGCUUUCUCUAGACUCUGGUCCGGACUCUGGGGGACUCUGGGGCAGGAGCUGACACUGGAGCUAAUCCAUUUCUGGUUUCUGGGACUGGAACGAACUAAAAGGCUGGUCUGGACACUGAAAAAGGCUCUGGGAUGGCGACCAUUUUGGGUUUCCAGAGCAGUGUCAUAUCCACACAGGGAGGCUAUGUUGUGUUUUCCAGCCUCAACACAGCAGCUGUUGGCCAGAGGGAAACCCAACACUUCAAAUCUGAUCUAUACACGCAAAGCCAAACCAUCGUAAUGGUUUUGAAGACUGGUUUUAUCAGCGUUUGACUGGGCAGCAUCCUCACUGAAUCCAGACCUCUCCAGCAUUUACUCACAGCUGAUUGCAACAGAGUUAAGCUAACCGUGUGAUACAUGUCUCUCAUAAAUAUUAAGGAAAACUGAUUAAUCAUUAUGUGAUUCACCAUAUAUGAUCUAGAUUUUCCAAUUUGCUUGCAUUAUAAGAGAGAAAAAGUAUGGUAAUGAGUAAAUGUAUUUGUAGUAUACUUAGCAUGACAUAAAUGCAUUUCAGAUA